Oncorhynchus tshawytscha (Chinook salmon) is the source of this 1057-nucleotide long non-coding RNA. NCBI's taxonomy places the organism in Eukaryota, Metazoa, Chordata, Actinopteri, Salmoniformes, Salmonidae. The record is from Ensembl.
CGCGACCCUGGGAUUGAACACGCGACCCAGGGAUUGAACACGCGACCCAGGGAUUGAACACGCGACCCAGGGAUUGAACACACGACUCCGGGAUUGAACACACGACUCCGGGAUUGAACUCGCGACCCAGGGAUUGAACACACUAACAGUCACUGUGUACUCGGGCUCCUCCCUCACUGAGGUGGAAUCACUAACAGACACUGUGUACUCAGGCUCCUCCAUCACUGAGGUGGAAUCACUAACAGACACUGUGUACUCAGGCUCCUCCAUCACUGAGGUGGAAUCACUAACAGACACUGUGUACUCAGGCUCCUCCAUCACUGAGGUGGAAUCACUAACAGACACUGUGUACUCAGGCUCCUCCCUCACUGAGGUGGAAUCACUAACAGACACUGUGUACUCAGGCUCCUCCCUCACCGAGGUGGAAUCACUAACAGACACUGUGUACUCAGGCUCCUCCAUCACUGAGCAGGUAGGGGUGAGGAUCUCGUGUGUAUUGUGAUGGGAUUUUAUAUUGUGAUAAUAAGAUGUUUUCUGGGUGUUUUUCUGGUUGUAUAGAGCUCCCCUCUAUUGGGUCACUGUCAGGGGAAACGUACAGUAUUUCGGUUGGCAAAAUGUUCCUUUUCUCCUUUCUUCUUCGCUGGCAAAACCAAAUAAAAGGGGACGCAGUGUUAUUGAGGCCCUGUUUUUUUUCUAUAAUCUACUAUAGGCCUAUAAAUUAAAACGAUAGAGAGCAAUAUUAAUGGCGUCUUUUUGAGGGCGCUAAAGGAGGCUAACUCCACCUUGAACUCGCGACUCUGGGAUUGAACACGCGACUCUGGGAUUGAACACGCGACUCCGGGAUUGAACACGUGACUCCGGGAUUGAACACGCGACUCUGGGAUUGAACACGCGCCUCUGGGAUUGAACACGCGACCCAGGGAUUCAACACGCGACCCAGGGAUUCAACACGCGACUCCGGGAUUGAACACGCGACUCCGGGAUUGAACACGCGACUCUGGGAUUGAACACGCGACCCAGGGAUUGAACACGCGACUCUGGGAUUGAACUCGCGACU